CACACAGUCAAUUUUAUUUAACGCAAUAUAAUUUAUACCAGAUCUUGGAGUCUUAAAGGCCUGAAUAAUUUACAUUGAUGUACAUUUACUUUUGACAGGCUGAUGAAAAACAUGAACUGCAUCUGAAGAUAAUGCUGGUUCAAUUAUUCUUGCCCAUACAGCUCCAACAUUAAAAACUCAUGAGAAGUCAUAAAAGGAAAAAAAAAGAACAAUAACAACAACAACAACAAACAAAUUUAAGAACUCACAAAAUAAAUUUCGGUUUAUUGUCGCACAACAAAUUUCACACAUACAUCAAACAGGCCACAAAUAGAUAGCAAUUUAACAGACAAGAAAGAAAAGAAGAAAAUUCUUUUCUUUUGGCCUUGCCCUCUCAUACAAUCCAACUACGUAUGAUACAACUGAUGUACAUACACAAAGUUACUGGAAUGCUUUGAAUUAAUGUUUUUUUUUUCAUGGUUUUCUGCAAUUUUUAAUUCCUUUUUUUGCGUAGUUUUUUACAAGUUUCUUUUGAGAUAACAUGACAUGGUCAAACCACAAGUAAAAUCUAUUUCAUAGAGAAGCAUCAACUUCAAAGCACCGUUUUGUAACCAGAGAUCACUGUCAAAAAUGGCUGACCUCCUAACAAUAUGUACAAAAAUAUAAAAUGUAAAUAAAAAUACAAACAAAUUUUUCCUUUUAAAGUAUUUUGUAAGAAGGUAGAGCUUUGAAGUCUUGGUUGUUUCUACAAAAUCUGCAGUUAGGUGUGUGUACACGGAUGCUGGACUCUACUUGAUGAUGACCAUGUUUUUCCUCCCCCAGUGGACGAGUUAAGGAAAGGAGGGAUGAGAAGAUUUCCAGCAGAGUAGCUUCUUACACAUCAGUCUUUUGCUUCUUGGUUUCAACAUCAUCCUAAAAACAGUGGCCAAACAGAGUUAAAACACUACAGUUUGUACGGUCAGACUUACACACGUAUGUAAGGAUUUCACUGCAUAGUAGAAAUUACCUCAUCAUCAUCAUCAUCAUCCUCGGCCGCUCUUUUUCCUGUGCCACCCUCAGCCUCAUCAUCAUCUUCAUCAUCAUCAUCAUCACCUGUAAUCAGAUCAUUCUCCAUUACCUCUGCUAUAAAGCUGCUCCUCCACAAACAGUGAGAGGGCUUCCUCAGUGAUCUCUGGCAUCUAAAUGGAGUCUUUUCCUGUCUGCAACAAUAAUAACCAAUCUGGAAAUCCCCCUGCUUUGCUGCCGUCUGGUAUGGCUGGUCACGUGGUCUUGCACAGUCCCAAGGGCCCAGAGCCCUACUUGUCCUGGUCUCUUGGAUGGCCCUGUUUACUUAUACAAUCUUAUUACUGUUAAGAAUUCGCAAAUGGCCUUGAGACUGCAACAUGGACAGCCACUGUUUAUUAUAAUUCUGGUCAUCUAAUAGCACAAACUAUGUGGGA
This is a long non-coding RNA of Cyprinus carpio carpio, 1418 nucleotides long. NCBI's taxonomy places the organism in Eukaryota, Metazoa, Chordata, Actinopteri, Cypriniformes, Cyprinidae. The record is from Ensembl.